RNAcentral lists this ribosomal RNA (481 nucleotides) under bacterium 4746K8-B10. Its description in RNAcentral is "bacterial SSU rRNA". It matches the Rfam family "Bacterial small subunit ribosomal RNA", at positions 1 to 485 of the family's 1533-position model. The record is from RNAcentral.
UAGAGUUUGAUCCUGGCUCAGAUUGAACGCUGGCGGCAGGCCUAACACAUGCAAGUCGAGCGGUAACAUUUCUAGCUUGCUAGAAGAUGACGAGCGGCGGACGGGUGAGUAAUGCUUGGGAACAUGCCUUGAGGUGGGGGACAACAGUUGGAAACGACUGCUAAUACCGCAUAAUGUCUACGGACCAAAGGGGGCUUCGGCUCUCGCCUUUAGAUUGGCCCAAGUGGGAUUAGCUAGUUGGUGAGGUAAUGGCUCACCAAGGCGACGAUCCCUAGCUGGUUUGAGAGGAUGAUCAGCCACACUGGGACUGAGACACGGCCCAGACUCCUACGGGAGGCAGCAGUGGGGAAUAUUGCACAAUGGGCGCAAGCCUGAUGCAGCCAUGCCGCGUGUGUGAAGAAGGCCUUCGGGUUGUAAAGCACUUUCAGUCAGGAGGAAAGGUUAGUAGUUAAUACCUGCUAGCUGUGACGUUACUGACAGA